This 429-nucleotide ribosomal RNA is filed under the name Pseudomonadota bacterium. RNAcentral's name for it is "Proteobacteria bacterium partial 16S ribosomal RNA". It matches the Rfam family "Bacterial small subunit ribosomal RNA", at positions 355 to 776 of the family's 1533-position model. Lineage: Bacteria; Pseudomonadati; Pseudomonadota. The record is from RNAcentral.
UGGGGAAUAUUGGACAAUGGGCGAAAGCCUGAUCCAGCCAUGCCGCGUGUGUGAAGAAGGUCUUCGGAUUGUAAAGCACUUUAAGUUGGGAGGAAGGGCAGUAAGCGAAUACCUUGCUGUUUUGACGUUACCGACAGAAUAAGCACCGGCUAACUCUGUGCCAGCAGCCGCGGUAAUACAGAGGGUGCAAGCGUUAAUCGGAAUUACUGGGCGUAAAGCGCGCGUAGGUGGUUCGUUAAGUUGAAUGUGAAAGCCCCGGGCUCAACCUGGGAACUGCAUCCAAAACUGGCGAGCUAGAGUAGGGCAGAGGGUGGUGGAAUUUCCUGUGAAGCGGUGAAAUGCGUAGAUAUAGGAAGGAACACCAGUGGCGAAGGCGACCACCUGGGCUCAUACUGACACUGAGGUGCGAAAGCGUGGGGAGCAAACAGG